AUGGUGUCAGUUCUACCAGUUUAGGAAAAGAAUUGUACUCAAUGGAUGUCAAAAUAGAGGGAUGACAUGCUGGAUACUGAUGUGGGAUUUCAUCCCUAAAGGCACUGUUGGGGCAUUUCAAUACAGCCACAACUGGUAUUACAAGUAUGUCAAAGUGAAGAAAGGGAGCACUCUCAGGGUUUCUAUGCUGUUGGCAGCUUACAUGUUUUUCAACUACUGCCUUUCUUACAAGGAGCUCAAACUUGAAAGGUUAUACAAGUACUACUGA
This 268-nucleotide long non-coding RNA is filed under the name Homo sapiens (human). Its description in RNAcentral is "non-protein coding lnc-PTH1R-2:1". Lineage: Eukaryota; Metazoa; Chordata; Mammalia; Primates; Hominidae. The record is from RNAcentral.